AGUUAAAUAACUUCUUGAAAAGAAAAAAAUUUAAAGAAAAAGAAACGAAAAGAGGUCGUCAUUUUAAUUUGGGUGGGAAAAUUGAAAAUGCAAAUUUUCGGAGAGGGGGAAGGGAUGAAAUGAAGAGGGGGAUAGAAAAAGUAAAAAUAAAAAUAAAAAUAAAAACAGUUUGGCGACUCCACUUCCAUUAGCCCUAGGCCUAACAAGUGAGGUGGCCCCCAGGAACCGCUUAAAUUGAAAAAAAAAAAACUGAAACGACUAGAGGGAAAAUCAAUCAAUCAAUUAAAAGCCCCACUUUCUCACGACCGGCGCGGGGAUUAAAGGAAAGAGGACGGAGACUGCGGCGCAACGCAAUGGCGGCGAUGAAGAAACCGAAAGUUGAGCAAGGGGAAGAAGCAAAUACGCUGUCAACUCAAAUCCCAGAUGAUAAAGAAGGUCUUAUAGAUUUCAUGGACCAGCGUGCCAACUCCAUCGAAGCCCUUAAAGACCAGCUCUCAAACCUCGAGAGAAAGCUCUCUGAAGAGAGAAGACUGAUGGCAGAUGCGGAAGCCAAGUUUCUACGAGUCGAUCGCGUUGAAAAUAAGAAGAACGUGCCUGGUAAAACUGGAAGCUUACUUGGUAUAGCUGAGUUCUGGACCGAACGAGAUAAUAAUGUGAAGAAGACUGCUAAUAAUGGAACCUCUACUCCGCAUCCACGUGGCGAGAAGAUAGAAUAUGAAUCCUCUACUCCACAAACUCCUACCGAGAUUAAACCGUUGAAAAUGCCGUCUAUUAUUUUACCGCCUUCUUUCAAGAGAAAAGCUUCUGCUCCUGCCAGACCAGAAGCGAACGAGACCCAACACGUGGCUACAAGUGAGUCUAACGUCCCAAAGGAAGUGAGAAAUGGGUCUGAAGCCAAGAGGUCUCGUACUGUUGUUCCUAACGAAGUGGUUAGGGAAAGUCAAUCUCAAGCAAAGCCGAGGAUCAGAGUUUCUACUAACAUUCCUGGACAAGCAGCGCAACAGGAAAAGUCUGAGUUCCAUGGGCAUGAAGAGUUGAUAGCGCUUAUAGGAAGGAGCUCUUUGCGUGCCACGAUUGAAAGUCGUACCUUAGCUAUGAUACCAAGUGGCCACACGAAAAGGAUGAGAAGCCUCGCUCUUUCUCCUUCAAACCGUGAUCUUUUUGCUACGAGUGCGUUGGAUGGUGUGGUUCAUUUUUGGAAGCUUCAGUCUGAUAGGUCCUCAGCUACUCUGUUUAAGACGGUUAAUCGGGUAGAGGUAGAUCAGAAGAGAUGGGCAGAAGAUAUAGCUUGGCAUCCACACAAUAGUGCUCUUUUCUCUGUCUAUACCGCAGAUGAAGGUCACGCUCAGAUAUCAGCCUUAUACCUGAACGAAGCUCGAGAGACUUGCGAGUCAAAGUUUCUAAAGGACAGGCCUCACAGCAAAGGUCUAAUCAACAGAAUCAUGUUCACGCCUUGGGAUGAUCCUUGUUUCAUCACAGGCGGGUGUGACCAUGCAGUAGUGUUAUGGCGUGAACAAUGUGAGAGUAACGAAUGGAAGUCCAGGCUCCUGCAUAAGGACUUGCACACGUCAGCCGUGAUGGGAGUAGCUGGAAUGCGCCAUAACAAUCUCGUCUUGUCAUGUGGAGACGACAGGAGAUUUGUUGGGUUCGAUGCCAGAGAAGAAAAAGUCACAUUCAAGCAUAGACUAGACAACAAAUGCACAAACUUGCUGCCAAACCCUCGAGAUGUUAACCUUGUCAUGCUUCAAACAAGGCAGCUAGACAGGCAACUUCGGUUGUACGAUGUAAGAUUGCCUCAGACAGAACUAUUUUCUUUCGGGUGGAAGCAAGAAAGCAGCGAAUCGCAGUCGGCUCUAAUCAACCAGUCUUGGUCUCCAGAUGGUUUACACAUCUCAUCUGGCUCCUCAGACCCGGCGAUCCACAUCUUUGACAUCCGCUACAAUGCAGCGAGCCCGUCUCUGUCGAUCAAGGCUCAUAAGAAAAGAGUGUUCAAAGCUGAGUGGCACUCUUCUAAUCAGCUACUUGUCUCCAUCUCUUCAGAUUUAGAAAUUGGGAUCCACAAGCUAUGGUGAAACAUUAAAACAGCUUGAGUAUUGCAACUUUGCCACACGAGAGAAGUUGGUGCUAUCGAUAGGAAAGUUCGGCUUCAUCACAUCACCCACACUGGAUACUAAAUUCUUAUUGGGAGUUGUGUAGUUUCAGUCCAGGGUCUUAAGACACCUGGCUUGUUUUAACAUUUUUGGUACAUGUCCCGAGGAUAACAGCAAAAUAAUUGUAGCUCUCUCUAUACAUCAGUUUUGUCGCAUUUUGCGGAUAUUCUGACAGUCUAAUCUCAUGCCCCUAAUCAUCAA
This is an RNA transcript of Brassica rapa (field mustard), 2351 nucleotides long. RefSeq lists it as uncharacterized. The record is from RefSeq and is a predicted model, not a curated record. Lineage: Eukaryota; Viridiplantae; Streptophyta; Magnoliopsida; Brassicales; Brassicaceae.